AAUUCUCAACCUUGCAAGCUUUUUCUUGCGAGGCUUGGAUGUGAGGGAUUUUGCUGGCUUCCUUCAGUUGGAUGGUCUGCUCCCUUUAAAUUCAUUAGUGGGAUCCUUUGUGGAUGGUCACUUGGUGUGAUAAUUAUCUACGCCGCCUGACUCUGAAACAAGACUUGUGGGAACCUGCUCAUAACCGUCUCUUCAGAGACAACCUAACCUUGACAAU
RNAcentral lists this unclassified non-coding RNA (217 nucleotides) under uncultured Mycena. Its description in RNAcentral is "sequence contains ITS2". The record is from RNAcentral. Lineage: Eukaryota; Fungi; Basidiomycota; Agaricomycetes; Agaricales; Tricholomataceae.